GUUACAGCCGCCGCGGUAAUACGUAGGUGGCAAGCGUUGUCCGGAUUUACUGGGCGUAAAGGGCGUGCAGGCGGCUUGUUAAGUCCAGGGUGAAAGCUCCCGGCUCAACUGGGAGAGGUCCUUGGAUACUGGCAAGCUCGAGGGAGGUAGAGGAAAGUGGAAUUCCCGGUGUAGUGGUGAUAUGCGUAGAUAUCGGGAGCAACACCUGUGGCGAAGGCGGCUUUCUGGGCCUUACCUGACGCUGAGACGCGAAAGCGUGGGGAGCGAACCGGAUUAGAAACCCUGGUAGUCC
This 292-nucleotide ribosomal RNA is filed under the name uncultured bacterium. RNAcentral's name for it is "partial 16S ribosomal RNA". It matches the Rfam family "Bacterial small subunit ribosomal RNA", at positions 505 to 796 of the family's 1533-position model. The record is from RNAcentral.